GCUGUACCUGCUGCGGAGACUCAGGUCGUUUGGAGUGGAGGGCCCACUCCUGAAGACCUUCUAUGACUCUGUUGUGGCUUCUGCUAUCUUUUAUGGCGUGGUCUGCUGGGGCGGCAGCAUCUCUGCUGGGGACAGGAAGAGACUGAACAGGGUGAUCCGAAGGGCCAGCUCUGUUCUAGGAUGCCCUCUGGACCCAGUGGAGGUGGUGAGUGACAGGAGAACGGCGGCUAAGCUGUCAUCCCUGUUGGACAACAUCUCCCACCCCAUGCAGCAGACUGUGACAGCACUGAGCAGCUCCUUCAGUGGGAGACUGCGGCACCCACGGUGUGGGACGGAGAGAUUUCGCAGGUCUUUCCUCCCCACUGCUGUCAGACUCCAUAAUAAAGACUUUAACUGAUCAAGCACACACAUCCAUACAUAUGCAAUAAUACUAAGUGCAAUAAUCCUUCUGUCAUCGUUGUAUUUUUACUCAGUUGUAUAUAGUAUUUGUAUUUGUAUUCUAUUUUUAUCUUAUUGUAUUUUUAUUUUAUUUUAUUCUACUGUAUAUAGUAUUUUAUUUUAUUCUAUUCUGUACAGUUGUGUACUGUAUUUAUUCUUAUUGUAUUCUAAUUUUUGCCUCAUAACUUUUGCACUGUCCACUUCCUGCUGUGACAAAACAAAUUUCCCACGUGUGGGACUAAUAAAGGUUAUCUUAUCUUAUCUUAUCACCCUGGUUUGGAAGAAUUGCUCUUGAUGAGAUUCCUGCUUGAUUGUACUUGACAGACAUUCUGUAACAGAUUUGAGUUCCACUGCAGCCCUUACAAUUUAUUGGUAGGGGAUGGAAGAAACACGAAAAGAACCUGAAGACCAUGGCAGCAGUGGGAUUCGAACCCACGCCUCCGAAGAGACUGGAGCCUAAAUCCAGCACCUUAGACCGCUCGGUCAUGCUACCAUUGCGAGUGAGGACCUCAUCGCAAAACUCUAGACAGUAAAACUUGAAAAAGUGCA
Molecule: long non-coding RNA, 987 nt
Organism: Astatotilapia calliptera (eastern happy)
Lineage: Eukaryota; Metazoa; Chordata; Actinopteri; Cichliformes; Cichlidae
Source: Ensembl